GAGUUUGAUCAUGGCUCAGAUUGAACGCUGGCGGAAUGCUUUACACAUGCAAGUCGGGCGGCAGCACGGGGGCAACCCUGGUGGCGAGCGGCGAACGGGUGAGUAAUACAUCGGAACGUACCCUGUCGUGGGGGAUAACGAAUCGAAAGAUUCGCUAAUACCGCAUACGACCUGAGGGUGAAAGCGGGGGAUCGCAAGACCUCGCGCGAUAGGAGCGGCCGAUGUCGGAUUAGCUAGUUGGUGGGGUAAAGGCUCACCAAGGCGACGAUCCGUAGCGGGUCUGAGAGGACGGCCCGCCACACUGGGACUGAGACACGGCCCAGACUCCUACGGGAGGCAGCAGUGGGGAAUUUUGGACAAUGGGGGCAACCCUGAUCCAGCCAUUCCGCGUGAGUGAAGAAGGCCUUCGGGUUGUAAAGCUCUUUCGGCAGGAACGAAACGGCGGGCUCUAACAUAGCCUGUCAAUGACGGUACCUGAAGAAGAAGCACCGGCUAACUACGUGCCAGCAGCCGCGGUAAUACGUAGGGUGCGAGCGUUAAUCGGAAUUACUGGGCGUAAAGCGUGCGCAGGCGGCUUUGUAAGACAGGUGUGAAAUCCCCGGGCUUAACCUGGGAACUGCGCUUGUGACUGCAAGGCUCGAGUGCGGCAGAGGGGGGUGGAAUUCCACGUGUAGCAGUGAAAUGCGUAGAGAUGUGGAGGAACACCGAUGGCGAAGGCAG
RNAcentral lists this ribosomal RNA (720 nucleotides) under uncultured bacterium. RNAcentral's name for it is "bacterial SSU rRNA". It matches the Rfam family "Bacterial small subunit ribosomal RNA", at positions 9 to 724 of the family's 1533-position model. The record is from RNAcentral.